Molecule: ribosomal RNA, 253 nt
Filed under: uncultured bacterium
Lineage: Bacteria
Description: partial 16S ribosomal RNA
Rfam family: Bacterial small subunit ribosomal RNA
Source: RNAcentral
UACAGAGGUCUCAAGCGUUGUUCGGAUUCAUUGGGCGUAAAGGGUGCGUAGGUGGCGGGGUAAGUCUGGUGUGAAAUCUCGGGGCUCAACCCCGAAACUGCACUUGAUACUGCCGUGCUCGAGUACUGGAGAGGAGAUUGGAAUUUACGGUGUAGCAGUGAAAUGCGUAGAUAUCGUAAGGAAGACCAGUGGCGAAGGCGAAUCGCUGGACAGUGACUGACGCUGAGGCACGAAGGCCAGGGGAGCAAACGGG